UACGUAGGGUGCAAGCGUUGUCCGGAAUUAUUGGGCGUAAAGAGCUCGUAGGCGGUUUGUCGCGUCUGCUGUGAAAACUGGAGGCUCAACCUCCAGCCUGCAGUGGGUACGGGCAGACUAGAGUGCGGUAGGGGAGAUUGGAAUUCCUGGUGUAGCGGUGGAAUGCGCAGAUAUCAGGAGGAACACCGGUGGCGAAGGCGGGUCUCUGGGCCGAUACUGACGCUGAGGAGCGAAAGCGUGGGGAGCAAACAGG
Molecule: ribosomal RNA, 253 nt
Filed under: uncultured bacterium
Lineage: Bacteria
Description: partial 16S ribosomal RNA
Rfam family: Bacterial small subunit ribosomal RNA
Source: RNAcentral